GGGCGGUUAGCUCAGCCGGUUAGAGCGCGUCGUUCACACCGACGAGGUCGAGAGUUCGAGUCUCCCACCGCCCACCA
Molecule: transfer RNA, 77 nt
Filed under: bacterium
Lineage: Bacteria
Also listed under: 4 other names
Description: tRNA-Val
Rfam family: tRNA
About the family: Transfer RNA (tRNA) molecules are approximately 80 nucleotides in length. Their secondary structure includes four short double-helical elements and three loops (D, anti-codon, and T loops).
Source: RNAcentral